CUAGGAUUAGAUACCCUAUUAUUUAAAAUGUAUUUUAUAGAAUUUAAGUAGUAAGAGUUAGGAGCUCGAAACUUAAAAAAUUUGGCGGUAUUUUAGUCUAUUCAGAGGAAUUUGUUUUGUAAUCGAUAGUCCUCGAUGUACCUUACUUAUUUUUGUUGUCAGUUUAUAUAUCGUCGUUAUUAGAAUAUUUUAUAAGAAUUAUUAAUUUUCAUAAUUUAUAAAAAUAAAAUAUAUCAGAUCAAGGUGUAGCUAAUAUUUAAGAAAUAAUGAAUUACAAUAAAAUUAUUUAAAUGGAUUUUAAUUUGAAAUAUUUAAUGAAAGUGGAUUUGAUAGUAAAUAUAUAAAGAUUAAUAUUUUGAUUUUAGCUCUAAUAUAUGUACACAUCGCCCGUCACUCUUAUUAAUAAAGUAAGAUAAGUCGUAACAUAGUAGAUGUACUGGAAAGUGUAUCUAGAAUG
RNAcentral lists this ribosomal RNA (457 nucleotides) under Metadrinomyia flavifrons. RNAcentral describes it as "partial 12S ribosomal RNA". Lineage: Eukaryota; Metazoa; Arthropoda; Insecta; Diptera; Tachinidae. The record is from RNAcentral.